Molecule: ribosomal RNA, 367 nt
Filed under: uncultured organism
Description: bacterial LSU rRNA
Rfam family: Bacterial large subunit ribosomal RNA
Source: RNAcentral
CUUUACUGUAGCUUGGUAUUGGGUUCGGGCUUGUCAUGCGCAGGAUAGGUGGGAGACUAUGAAGCUGCCCUUGUGGGGGCAGUGGAGUCAUCAGUGAGAUACCACUCUGUCAAGGCUAGAAUUCUAACCGUCUGCCGUUAUCCGGCGACGGAACAGUAUCAGGUGGGCAGUUUGACUGGGGCGGUCGCCUCCUAAAUGGUAACGGAGGCGCGCAAAGGUUCCCUCAGGCUGGUUGGAAAUCAGCCGAAGAGUGUAAAGGCAGAAGGGAGCUUGACUGCAAGAGCAACAACUCAAGCAGGGACGAAAGUCGGCCUUAGUGAUCCGACGGCGCUGAGUGGAAGGGCCGUCGCUCAACGGAUAAAAGUUA